UUAGUCCUCCUUCUUCCAUCUGUUUUUUCUCUAGAACUUUCUAGUCCCACUUCCUAUUUUUUAUAUUACUCACAAUACUCACUCUCUGUCCUUAAUUAUCAACACCCAUAAAACCAUUCCUUUAUCCAUCUUAAUUGUAUUUAGCGACUGAAGAAGAAAAAAGAUAAUGGAUGAUGGAGUGAAAGUGAAGGUCGAAGAAGAGGGCAUUGCCACUGCCGUGCUGCCUAUGGAGGGGCUGCAUGAUGUUGGCCCACCACCGUUUCUAAGCAAGACGUACGAAAUGGUGGAAGACUCUUCAACUGAUGAAGUCAUUUCAUGGAGCAGAGAAAGGAAUAGCUUCAUUGUUUGGGACUCUCAUAAGUUCUCUACCACAUUGCUCCCUAGGUUUUUCAAGCACAGUAAUUUCUCCAGUUUCAUUCGUCAGCUUAACACAUAUGGUUUUAGAAAGGUGGAUCCUGACAGAUGGGAAUUCGCGAAUGAAGGUUUUCUGGGAGGACAGAAGCAUCUUUUGAAGACCAUAAAGAGGAGGAGGAAUGUUGGUCAAAGCAUGAGCCAACAAGGAUCUGGUCCUUGCAUUGAAGUAGGUUAUUAUGGAAUGGAGGAGGAACUUGAAAGAUUAAAGCGAGAUAAAAACGUGUUGAUGACUGAAAUAGUUAAACUUAGACAGCAGCAGCAGAGUGCCAGAAAUCAGAUCAUUGCUAUGGGAGAAAAAAUUGAAAGCACAGAGAAGAAACAAGAGCAGAUGAUAAAUUUCCUGGCAAAGAUAUUCAGCAAUCCAACUUUUCUCCAGCAGUACUUGGACAAACAUGUGCAGAGGAAAGAUAAACAACGCAUUGAAGUUGGACAAAAGAGGAGACUGACAAUGACCCCCAGUAUUGAGAACCUUCAAGAUGUAGCAUCAGUAGCCACAGCAAGUGAUCAGCCUAUGAAUUACUCAAACCAAGAGCGUGAAGCUGAGCUUACAAAUAUUGGAACUGAUAUUGAAAUGUUAUUCUCUGCUGCAUUGGAAAAUGAAUCAAGCAGCAAUGUCAGGUCAGCUUCUGUUGUGACAGCAAGUGGAACCGAUAUGGAACCAGUGCCGGAGAAUAUUUGGGAAGAGUUGCUUGGUGAUGAUCAUAUAUCUGGUGAUGGAGCAGAGGAAGUACCGAUUGUUGAUCAACCUGAAUUUGUCGUGGAAGUUGAAGAUCUUGUUUCUAAAACACCUGUAUGGGGUGAGGAAUUAGAAGAUCUUGUAGAUCAACUUGGUUUCCUUUAGGUUCAAUUCCUAAAAGCUUCAGUUUGCGGGGACCUCUUGUUGUUCCUCUGGCGUUCUUAGCACAAUUCUAUUAUCCUAUAUGGAGUAUGCAUUUUGGUUAAGUUACUGCUUUCAAAUAUGUUUAGCUGAUGUCUUGUACUUCUUGUUUCUCUUCUAUAGCAGGGAAUGAUAGAGUCGUGGGGUGCAUAAAGCUAAUUUUUUCUAUUUCAUAUACUUUAUUCAUGUAUCGAUUCUACUAAUAUAUUGGAAAAGUGAAGUGCAGAAUUAAUAUUUUCCUUUUAUUUGGUUUAUUUUUCAGGUUAAGAUGGAGAUCUACUUUCAGGAAGCUAUGAGGCAAUCUCUAGUAGCUCAUGUUUACAAGAAGCAGCCGCCGCAAUCUCUGGUAGAUCGUUCUUUUGGUUCGGAACUUCUCAUGGAUGAUAGCUGCCUGACAUCAUGUAUCAAAUUUGAUUUGUGUAUAUAUGAUCUGUCAUGCUCUACGGAAAAAAAGUCGCGUUUGUCUGUGAUAACUUUUCCGUUUAAUGAGGGGAGCUAUUUAACUAGAUACUUGGCCAAAUUUCUGGAGUGGGACGUCAUAGUUUAGAUUGAGAUGCCAACGUAUAUGAUGUUACCUGGAGUAAUUUCCAUGGAUAGGCAUCCAUGUUUUUGCAAUUACUUAUAAAUAUCACUUUUAUUUUGUUUAGGCAAGAAUAUCAAAAAAUAUUUGACACUUCAAAAAUAUUUCUUUUC
This is an RNA transcript of Capsicum annuum, 1984 nucleotides long. It is a transcript of the gene named heat shock factor protein HSF30, with no coding region annotated. The record is from RefSeq and is marked provisional. The transcript has 3 exons. Lineage: Eukaryota; Viridiplantae; Streptophyta; Magnoliopsida; Solanales; Solanaceae.